This is a long non-coding RNA of Aedes albopictus (Asian tiger mosquito), 3950 nucleotides long. RefSeq lists it as uncharacterized. Lineage: Eukaryota; Metazoa; Arthropoda; Insecta; Diptera; Culicidae. The transcript has 3 exons. The record is from RefSeq and is a predicted model, not a curated record.
UUAAGCAGGGUGGCCACACAAAAUCGAAAUUGAAAUUCCCGCAUUUUUCCCGACUUUUUCCCGCAUUAAUUUUGAAUUUUCCCGAUUUUGUAUGGAGCUUGUAAAACAUCCAAUAAUCCAAUUUUUAGUGGAUCUGUAAAACUGAAAUAUUUACAGUGUAAUUGUGAUACAUACUGUGACAGUUUUACAAUAUUUUAGAGACGUUAACUUCAAAAUAAAUUUACAUGUAACAUAUUUGAAAUUUGCUUCUUGUUCCGGAUGCCUUGUAAAGUAAACCUAUGCUUGAAAAUAUGUGUUUCGAAAUUCCCAAAAGAUUUUUGUGAACUCCUUCAGUAAUGCUUGAUGAAGUUCCAAUAAAAAAAAUCUAGUCGGCUAACUGAAAUACUUUUUAGUGAAUUCUUUAUAGGAGUUUUUUACGCUAUCCCAGGAAUUCUAAAGGUGUGGAGGACGGCAUUCUUGACAUAAUUCUGUUAUAAUUCCUAUAAGCCGAAUUAUUGGAGUGUUUACUAGUGAAAUUCUUGGAGGAAUUUCCUAACCAAUUUUCUUGGAAGGUGUUUAUUGUAAAAAUACUGAAUAAAUGUCUGUGACAUUUUCUCACAUACUCUGCUGGUAACAAAUCAGGAAAUUAUUGGAAUAAUUGAGUUAACAAAUAAAUAUUAAAAAAAUAAGUUAUAUUAACAGGUUUAUUUUUAAACCACCAGAUUCAAAAUUAUCCGAAAUCCAUUAGAUUACACAUAUUUAGUAUGCAUAUUUGAUAUUUCGUAUGCAUAAAGGAUUUUCACGAGAACUCGCUGGCGAUUUAUGUCAAAACUCUUGGAAUUUUUCUAAAGAAACUGACUUCUGAAGAUACAUUCAGAUAAAAAAAAAUACAGAACUCAGAUAAAUCUCUCUUGGACUUUCUCAAAAUACCUAUAAAUAAUUCCUGUUUAGUGGGAAUUGGUUAUUUUCAAAAAAGAAAAUAUGAGUUUUGUUAUGAGAGCACUAACAAUGAACUCCUUAGCGGAAUUUUCCUCAAAUUUCUAAAAUAUCUGCGGAUUUUUAUGAAAAGUUUUCUAUUCAUUAGCAAUUUCUAGCUGAAAUUCUCAAACAAAACUUUGACAUUUCAGACGAAAUUUGUAAGGCUCAUUUUAGAUAUUUAAGGAAAACAUCGAUAUUCUGGGAUUAAUUUCUAAUCCCAUUGUUGAAAAACUUUCCAAGUAAGUUGAAUAUUGAUUUUCCAUAACCAAUCAAAAGUGCACACUUCCCUAGAAACACCAGGUUUCCGGGAUAUCCGAAGGAUUGCCAUUGUACCCAAAAUCCCUAGAACCAUGUUCAAAUAUUCUUGUUCUGCAAAAUCAUGAAGUGUGAUAUGUCACACAAGCUAGGUUCCAAAAAUGAUCAAAAAGUGGUCACUAUCCUGUGAGCACCAGGUUUCCGGAACAUCCGGAAACGUGGCCAGUUUACUUGAAAUCCCUAGAAACAAUUUACAAUACUCCUGUUUUGCAAAAUCAUGAAGUUUGAUGUGUUGCAAGCUAGUUUUCGAAGGCGAGUUAAAGGUUGCACCACUGGUAACACCAGGACUUCCUUCAGUAGACAUUGAAUUCAUAAAAGAAAAUCUAGAGAAUCCUGUCUCCUGGUUUUCAACUUGCAAUUUUGCUUCCGUUGUAAUAUCAGUGCGGAUUCUAGGUAUUCAUUUAUGAAUUAAUCCAGUAAUUCUACAAAUCGUUACACAGAAAACACUUCAAGAGUUUCUUCCAGUAUAUCGUCAUCAAUUUAUAAUUCCAUGAAACAACCACCAGAGACUCUUCAGAGACGGCAGAAUUAUUAUUGCUUUUAGUAAUUAUUCCAAAUUUUUUUAAGAUUGCCAAAUUGUUAGUGUGAUGGAUUUUGUCAUUGCAGGGAGCUUUUCCAUGAACUGAAAUUUCUAGAAAUACCGGUAAAAACUCCAACAAAACAAUAGUUUCAGGAAGUCCUCCACUACGAAUUAAGGAAGUGUUAUAAAAAGUUCCAAUAAAAACAUUAAUUGAAACUUGUCCUAAAGCUCAGCCAGAUACUUCGGCAAAAAAUCUUAACUGCUACGGGGAACUACUACAGAAAAAAAAAAUCUGAAUAGAAUCUAAAACUAUGUUACUAAUUUCUCCAUUUUGAUAAAUACAAAUGUAAAAAGCUAAAAAAUUUCAACGAAAAUGUUGGAGAAGUAUUUUAUGGCAUUUCUGACAAAAUCAUCAAAAUUUGGCUGCCAAAAUUAUUUUUUUGCGAUACUUUUUUCACGUUUUUUUUUUUAAUUUCAUAACUUCAUUUUAAAAAAUUGUGAUUUUAAAUAUGUUUGUGCCCAAAUUGAAUUCGAGCAUCCGGACAAUAAAAACCUGUUACUCGGAUAGUCUCUAUCGAACAAGAAAUCACUCGUUAUUCAGAAACCAACGCUCAUCUGGAUUUAGAAGUCCGUGAAACUUCCGAAACUGUGUAAGAAUCUGGAUUUGAAGUGAGUCAAGGUUCAAGUAAAUCUAGGUUUGAGGAGGCGUUACACAUAAUUUUAAAAAUUCCCGAUCAUAAACAAAAUUCCCGACUUAUUCCCGCAUAUUUCCCGAUGAAUUUCAAUUCCCGACUUUUUCCCGCAUUUCCCGAAUUUCCCGAGUCUGUGGCCACCCUGUUUAAGGCUCAAUAGAGAAUCGCAUACCUUCCAAAACCAAAAAACAAUAAUCCUCAAAAUGCCAAGCAAGUCAUAGAAAGAAAAAACGCCCGAUUUUUUAUUUUGUCAAUUAUAACAAACGGAAACUUCCAACUUCACCGACUCACCAGUCACCCGGAAAAAAUGUUCCUUCAGUUCUGGAAAAUAUAUUAUCCCCAAUUAAGCCCUUAAUCGAAUUGUCCGCGUGGUCUUGUAGUACCCCUGCUAGGUAAGAACCAGUCAUUGCCAUACAUAUUAAAUGCUAGACAUGACCCCAUGGAUAGCAUUUGCAUAUGUAAAAGCUUUGCUGAUGUGACUUUCCUAUUAGGCAAUUCUCUCAUCUCAUGUUUGUCUUCAAAACCUUGUCAAGCUUAGAAAAUUGAAGCUAAUAAACAAUACAUUACAAAGUUCGAAUUCCCAUAGAAUGAGAUCAUUCAUUCGCACUACAACACCAUAGGAGAUAAUGUCGCAUUGGCUGAUUACAGUACAAAUGCGAAAAAUCUCCCUUUUCCCCCUAUCCGCAACCCGGGGACGCGCCCUGUUGGAUUUCGAAACCCUCGGAGAAUAUUACAAACCUUCAAUGGCAUUCCCAUACACUAACCCACAUUGUCCAUUCAGGGGUCUGACUGGGCCUAUUACCCUCCCUCAGUUUGUAAUAUUCUCACCAACUUGGAAUUAUAUUUUGCCGGCACAUAAAUGACUUCGACAAAUGUUCGAUAUACUAUGCAGCAUCAUGAUCAGUAUAACUAUAUCAGAUGACUUGAAGGGCCCAUAUAGCCGAGGCGGUAAACGCACGGGUAUUCAGCAUGACCAUGCUGAGGGUGACGGGUUCGAUUCCCGGUCGGUCCAGGAUCUUUUCGUAAAGGAAAUUUCCUUGACUUCCUUGGGCAUAGAGUAUCUUCGUGCCUGCCACACGAUAUACACAUGCAAAAUGGUCAUUGGCAGAGGAAGCUCUCAGUUAAAAACUGUGGAAGUGCUCAUUGAACACUAAGCUGAGAAGCAGGCUUUGUCCCAGUGAGGACGUUACGCCAAGAAGAGGAGAGGAGAAUUAAAUUGACAUUUUCAUGCGUAGUGCAAACGCAAACAUUAUGUGUUCCUGUGAUAGUCAAUAGUUUACAUUGCCUUGGCCGGAGGCUUGCAAAUGAUGAAAACCCUAUUUUUACAUUGACGUACAUUUCAUUAAAGCGAUUAAAAGCUUCUCUUAAUGUCAUCAUUAACAAUCUUUUCUGAACAGCUAAUCUCUUAUUUCCUGUCUUUACGCUAACAAAAUCUCUUUGGCCUGGCAUUGCACGGCUUAUAUCAU